UUUAUCGGAGAGUUUGAUCCUGGCUCAGGACGAACGCUGGCGGCGUGCCUAAUACAUGCAAGUCGAGCGGACAGAUGGGAGCUUGCUCCCUGAUGUUAGCGGCGGACGGGUGAGUAACACGUGGGUAACCUGCCUGUAAGACUGGGAUAACUCCGGGAAACCGGGG
RNAcentral lists this ribosomal RNA (166 nucleotides) under Bacillus atrophaeus. RNAcentral describes it as "partial 16S ribosomal RNA". It matches the Rfam family "Bacterial small subunit ribosomal RNA", at positions 1 to 162 of the family's 1533-position model. The record is from RNAcentral. Lineage: Bacteria; Bacillati; Bacillota; Bacilli; Caryophanales; Bacillaceae.